ACUAGUGGAAGACCACGUAGAGCUAGCGAUUCUCAAUCACUCUAGAUGGCCCCGUAGCCGUAGAUAUAUAUAGAGCCUCGAUACACAAAUUGCAGAGAAUCUCUAUAUCUUUGGAUCUGUCAAGCAUUUUUUGUGUGGCUCUAUUAAGAAAACUUUUUUUUUUUUGAGAAAACAUUAUUUUCAUUCUGGAGUUUUCCAAGUGCAAGGUCGAUUGAGAAUGAUUCAGAUCUACCAAUUACUCCUUAAUCGGCGAUUCGCUAGAGCUCUGUGCCACACAAUGGACAUGUAAAAACAAAAACAACAAGGGUUUCUUAUGUUCAUUGUGAAUAGGCACUAAAAUGGAAUGGAUACUGUUGCACGAACAUCCAAUAUCAGCAAUACCAGUUCAAUCAUUUUCUUAUUUGAACAGAUUUUUUUAUCCAAAUAUUUGAAUCUAUAGCAUCAAACUGGAACAAAAAAAUUAACUGUGCUGUAUUCCAUUCAUGAUCCAAUAUUGAAAGUACUUUCCAUUUUUCUAAGCCCACGAAGUUGAGAUAUUCAGAACUCAGUUCA
Coccinella septempunctata (seven-spotted ladybird) is the source of this 552-nucleotide long non-coding RNA. RefSeq lists it as uncharacterized. The transcript has 2 exons. The record is from RefSeq and is a predicted model, not a curated record. NCBI's taxonomy places the organism in Eukaryota, Metazoa, Arthropoda, Insecta, Coleoptera, Coccinellidae.